AAUAUUGGACAAUGGGGGCAACCCUGAUCCAGCCAUCCCGCGUGUAUGAUGAAUGCCUACGGGUUAUAAAGUACUUUUGGCAGAGAAGAAAAGGUACCUCCUAAUACGAGAUACUGUGUACGGUAUCUGCAGAAUAAGCUCCGGCUAACUACUUGCCAGCAGCCGCGGUAAUACGUAGGGUGCAAGCGUUAAUCGGAAUUACUGGCGUAAAGCGUGUGUAGGCGGUCCGGAAAGAAAGAUGUGAAAUCCCAGGGCUCAACCUUGGAACUGCAUUUUUAACUGCCGAGCUAGAGUAUGUCAGAGGGGGGUAGAAUUCCACGUGUAGCAGUGAAAUGCGUAGAUAUGUGGAGGAAUACCGAUGGCGAAGGCAGCCCCCUGGGAUAAUACUGACGCUCAGACACGAAAGCGUGGGGAGCAAAC
This 420-nucleotide ribosomal RNA is filed under the name uncultured bacterium. Its description in RNAcentral is "partial 16S ribosomal RNA". It matches the Rfam family "Bacterial small subunit ribosomal RNA", at positions 360 to 773 of the family's 1533-position model. The record is from RNAcentral.